GUGUCGCGUCCCGGGACUGGACGACAGGAGGCAUGUUCUGCGCUAGCACCGUGACUUUGUUCCCAGCGUGGGGACUGUGGGAGAGAUGGAGAGAGACUGGUACAGAAAUGGUGAGACAAGGAGAGAGCCAUAAAGAGGAAGACAGAGAGAAAGAAGACAAAUGCAUAAAGAGGUUCAGAGACGUGUGACUGGAGAUCGAAGGCCUGGUUUUAGGGCUAGCGAACACCUUCUCACUUUGGUUUUGGUCCACAGAAGACUGGUGAUACAGAGCAUCCUCGCCAGGAGAGGCAGAGUCCAUGGAGCAGCCGAGACAGCUGUGGAAGAGAAGGUGCCAUGCGGAGCUACUGAGAGAGAGGGAAGGGCACCCCAUCACUACACACAGCAAAAAAUGACCUUCUGCCAAAGAAGCUGAUGGUUCAGGAAGAAAAUAGAGCUGACUAUCCCUGAAAAGGAAACGUGGUACUGUUUUGCUUUAUCACAAAUACAAACAAAAGGUUUAAAGAUGGAAAGAAAAGAACAGAAAGGAAAAAGAGUGAAAAGCCAGGAAAAGCACCUAGGAGGAACAGCCCUCUGCUGCCAUACU
This 583-nucleotide non-coding RNA is filed under the name Pan troglodytes (chimpanzee). Lineage: Eukaryota; Metazoa; Chordata; Mammalia; Primates; Hominidae. The record is from RNAcentral.